GACGAACGCUGGCGGCGUGCUUAACACAUGCAAGUCGAACGGUGAUGGGGAGCUUGCUCCUCUGAUCAGUGGCGAACGGGUGAGUAACACGUGAGUAACCUGCCCUUCACUCUGGGAUAACUCCGGGAAACCGGUGCUAAUACUGGAUACGACCUGAACAGGCAUCUGUAUCGGGUGGAAAGAUUUAUUGGUGGAGGAUGGACUCGCGGCCUAUCAGCUUGUUGGUGAGGUAAUGGCUCACCAAGGCGAC
Molecule: ribosomal RNA, 250 nt
Filed under: uncultured bacterium
Lineage: Bacteria
Description: partial 16S ribosomal RNA
Rfam family: Bacterial small subunit ribosomal RNA
Source: RNAcentral